RNA transcript from Heterocephalus glaber (naked mole-rat), 2188 nucleotides. It is a transcript of the gene named ligand of ATE1, with no coding region annotated. NCBI's taxonomy places the organism in Eukaryota, Metazoa, Chordata, Mammalia, Rodentia, Bathyergidae. The record is from RefSeq and is a predicted model, not a curated record.
CUUGUUAACGGUGCACGCGCGGUGUGGGGCAGUCGCCAUGGAGACGCGUGGCCCCAUCCGGGAAGUCGGCGCCGGGAGCUAGCCUGGGAGCUGCGUGGUCCUGCCCUGCCCGGUCGUAGGUCGCGAUCCCGCGGGCAGAUGGACCAUGGCUGUGGGGCCGGGGCUGCGAGAUACCUCGAAGAGGGAGAGGACGACGAGGAGGAGAAGGAGAGAGAGGGCAGCGCUGCGGGUUUGCUGGGGUCCAAGCUGCCCCCCAUCGCCGGUGACCCCUUAGAGCUAGCCAGACGAAAGGCGAAGAGGAAAAAGAAGAAGACAAAAGGGUCAGGCAAGGGAGACGCAGAUAAACAUCAAAGUCGAAGCCUAAAGCGUCAGCCAUUUUCUUCAUCUUUCCAAGACAUCAGUAGUUCCAGCAAAGACCACGGCCUGAGGCCAGAGCCCAAACAAGACAAGGACAGUCACAAGCACAUCUUUGCCUCUGCCUGCACCACAAGCCUCCCCCACUUGGCUGAAGUAGAAGAGAAACUAUCAAACCAGAUCAACGAAAGUCUGCGUUGGGAUGGAAUUCUCGUUGACCCGGAAGCAGAAAAAGAAAGGAUUCGCAUAUACAAACUGAACCGGAGGAAGCGAUACCAGAACUUGACCCUCAAGGGCUUCCACUCCGAUCCGUGCAGUCAGGGGAGCCCUGAGAGCUCACCCCAUCAUCUCCCAGACAAAGACUGCUGCCCUAAAAGGAGGCAGCCCACUGACCACGCACCCUCACCACUGCUCUGAGGAAAAACCCUGAGGCAAAGCUCCUGCACUCUGAUUUACCUCCUGCUCUGACAGAGUGAAGUCUACCCACAGUGCUGACAAGCUCACCCUUUCUCCUUGCCACAAGUUUAUGUGUUAAAAAAGAAUAAUAAAAGGAAACCAGAGCUGUAUCUGAAGGAAGCAGACGUCUGGUGUACACAUGAGGCCAACCUCUCCUGCACUGAGAUGCCCUUAAGUGCUCAGGAGAGUCCCAUUCCUUAAGAAACCAGCAACUUCAUGAACACAGUGCUUCGCACAACUGUCUUUUUUCUGAAAUAUGCUAGUGUCUCUCUUUGUUAUUUAAGUUCUCAUCACAGACAGAUCUCUGUAUAAUCUGCCCCUGAAAAAAAAAAAGUGUGUGGACUAUUUAAAUUCUAAGACUGAAACUAAUUUCAUGGAUACAGCUUGCAUAAUACAUGCAUCUGUUAGGCCCAAGAAAAUGCCCUGAAUAUUCUGGAGACUUUUUCUUAAUUACACUGUUUAUCCUUAUGUGGCUUGCAAAAUCAAGAGGCCUUGUCAUCUUGGUUUUGCAUCCAGAAGUAGACCCGAGGCAAGCACUCAAAUGCAAGGAGAUUUUUUGGGAGGUAAAGGGAAGAACGGAGGAAGGAGAGACAGCCAGCUAGGGGACAGUAAGUAUUAAGCCACCCUUCUUGCUGGGCAGCUGGAGUUUGAUCCCACAGGAUGCACUGGGAAACAAUUCAGGCCCAAAUCUCAAAACAGUGGCACCUGAGGUGAGUAUGUAAGGGCUGGGUACUGACACUCCCCAGGGUGUGUCUUGGCCAAUGGUGAUAAUUUUCUGGCAUUUCUAGCCUGCCACCCUGUGAGGGCCUGGAAGGCUACUUCAGCUAUGGGGGAAGUCAUCCGUACCACAAAAAUGCAGCCCGAUAAGUCCGGAGGGGAAAAGUGGUCUCUGGGUUAGCAUCAGUUACCUUUGAGGGUCAGGGUGGAGGUCUAAAAUGAGGUCCCUGGCUCCCCAGGGGUAAAGAUGUUCUUGGAUAGGUGGGACACACUGUCCCUGGGAGAAAUUAAAAGCCAAUACAGAUCGACAUAAUGCUUGUCUGGAAGCUAAGUGGAAGUAGCCCCUCUUAUCUGCCACCCCAUGGCUAACAGAUCAGCCCUCCUUUUACCUUUCCUUAAAAAGGCCUGUUGCAGAGUUCCCACAUUUUGCCAUUGAGCCCUGGCAAAAUAUCUUGCAGGGACUUUUGACAGAGUCCUCUCCUUCCCUGGAGAAUGGUUAGCAGUCAGGUCUGGCAGGGACCCUGAAGCAGAGCAGAGCAACGAGCAGCUGGGCUGGCAUCUGAGAUGCCUCCGGAGCAACUGUAGUGGCUGGAGGCUCUGAGCAUGCACUGGGUUCAGAGUGCCUUGGGAGCUUAGCAAAAUCCUCUGUGGGUACUGAGGG